Poeciliopsis prolifica (blackstripe livebearer) is the source of this 850-nucleotide long non-coding RNA. RefSeq lists it as uncharacterized. Lineage: Eukaryota; Metazoa; Chordata; Actinopteri; Cyprinodontiformes; Poeciliidae. The record is from RefSeq and is a predicted model, not a curated record. The transcript is spliced from 7 exons.
UCCAGCUAUUACCCCCCUUCCUCUGGGUCACUCCCCCAAAGUUCGUUGGACAUUUGCAGCCUCCUCCCCUUCCAAAAAGGAGAGUCAGGAGGCCACCUUUCCAAAUUCUUAAGAAUUUCUGUAAAAAGCAAGAAAGAAAAGAAGAAAAAAAAACAGUGGGUGGAAAGGUGAAUACACAACCUCAAUGACCACGCCAAGUUUUUACUAAACUGCUUUGUCAGCAUCUGGAUCUGGCCCCUGGGAGCCUGGAAAAAGGACUCCAGUGUUUUUACAGGAGGAGAGGAGCUCUAAGAAGCUGCUGAGUUUGCUUCUGCCUUGGGCCGGCUCUGUUCAGGCUCCUCCAGAAGCUGGGAAAACUGGAACUCGGUUAGUGACGUUGAGAGCCUGUUUGACUGAAGGCACCACACUGACUAGUCUGAAGGAGCUGAGCGGAGGAGGGCUUGUCUGUGAGGCAGAAGCUUGGAAGCUUGUAAACUGCAGCUCUGAGGAGGAGCGUUCGGUCCACCCAGCCCAGUCGCUGUCUCCAAACACAACCAUUUGGUUAGUUUGGGUAACGAGGAGAAACAAGCUGUCCACCGUCUUCCAUUCGUCACUGAAGGCCAUCCUUAUAGACAUCCAAAACCAUAAUAACCCUUCAUCACAGGAUACAGAGCAAGAAAAUAUAAACGAAUACAGGUUGGGGAAUAACAAGCUGUAGUUCUUGUCCUCAGGACAGACUGCUCCAUCAUUUAAUUCCACUACAAGAAAUAUUUUAACAGCCAUCAGUAUCUAGAAUAACUCUUUUAAAAAUGAAUGAAUCACAACAACAUUUAACUCUCUUUGGGAUGAAUAAAGUAUUUUUGAAUUUGAA